This is a long non-coding RNA of Zea mays, 389 nucleotides long. RefSeq lists it as uncharacterized. Lineage: Eukaryota; Viridiplantae; Streptophyta; Magnoliopsida; Poales; Poaceae. The record is from RefSeq and is marked validated. The transcript has a single exon.
AAGAUUCCCUAGCCUUCGGAUCUCGCCAGUCUCCUUCCCCUUGUUCCGCUCGCGCGCCGUGGUGGGCCCUCUACGUUGCGCAGAUGGUGUCAUCUUCUCCGCGGCAUGCGCGGCGAUCCCAACCUUCGCGCGGGAAUUACAGUUUCAUACCGACCUAGCAACGCAGACCCCCCACCUGGGCUAUAAAAUGUGAGCGCCCGUGACCCUGAGCCAUAGCCGUCGCAAGCCAUACGCCAAGGGGAGAAAAGGGAGACUCAUCGCCGAGAGAUAGAGAGGGCAGGAAGGACCCGAGCUCGGCGCCGUGGGGCUAUUGCUCGUGCGCUGUCAAUCCCAAACCAAGCUGAUAGCAUAGGAGCUUCACCGGAGAACGUGGAGCGUUUUCAAAGGAU